Molecule: ribosomal RNA, 303 nt
Filed under: Triticum aestivum (bread wheat)
Lineage: Eukaryota; Viridiplantae; Streptophyta; Magnoliopsida; Poales; Poaceae
Description: partial small subunit ribosomal RNA
Source: RNAcentral
AUGUUGAUGCAAGACUAUUUCACGGAGAAUCCUACAUAUCCUCCGCACCUCUUCCGGAGAAGGUACCGAAUGCGCCGAUCCCUCUUUGUGAAACUUGUUGAAGCUUGCGAGGCAAAUUGCCGGUAUUUUACUCAAAGAAGAAAUGCCACGGGCUUAAAGGGAUUUAGUGCAUAUCAAAAAAUCUCCGAAGCUAUGCGGGUGAUUGCAUAUGGCGUUCCGGCUGACUAUGUCGAUGAGUAUCUUCGCAUUGGUGAAGAUAUCACAAUUGAGUCUGUGCGUAGAUUUGCGAAAGUGAUCAUCCGU